RNAcentral lists this ribosomal RNA (465 nucleotides) under uncultured ammonia-oxidizing bacterium. Its description in RNAcentral is "bacterial SSU rRNA". It matches the Rfam family "Bacterial small subunit ribosomal RNA", at positions 198 to 644 of the family's 1533-position model. The record is from RNAcentral.
GGAGGAAAGUAGGGGAUCGCAAGACCUUGCGCUUUUGGAGCGGCCGAUGCCUGAUUAGCUAGUUGGUGAGGUAAAGGCUCACCAAGGCUUCGAUCAGUAGCUGGUCUGAGAGGACGACCAGCCACACUGGGACUGAGACACGGCCCAGACUCCUACGGGAGGCAGCAGUGGGGAAUUUUGGACAAUGGGGGAAACCCUGAUCCAGCCAUGCCGCGUGAGUGAAGAAGGCCUUCGGGUUGUAAAGCUCUUUCAGCCGGAACGAAACGGUCACGGCUAAUACCUGUGAUCACUGACGGUACCGGAAGAAGAAGCACCGGCUAACUACGUGCCAGCAGCCGCGGUAAUACGUAGGGUGCAAGCGUUAAUCGGAAUUACUGGGCGUAAAGCGUGCGCAGGCGGUUUUGUAAGUCAGAUGUGAAAUCCCCGGGCUUAACCUGGGAACUGCGUUUGAAACUACAAAGCUAG